GAUGAACGCUGGCGGCGUGCUUAACACAUGCAAGUCGAGCGAGUGAGUUCUUCGGAACGAUCUAGCGGCGGACGGGUGAGUAACACGUGGGCAACCUGCCUCAUAGAGGGGAAUAGCCUCCCGAAAGGGAGAUUAAUACCGCAUAAAAUUAUCGAGUGGCAUCACAUGAUAAUCAAAGGAGUAAUCCGCUAUGAGAUGGGCCCGCGGCGCAUUAGCUAGUUGGUGAGGUAACGGCUCACCAAGGCGACGAUGCGUAGCCGACCUGAGAGGGUGAUCGGCCACAUUGGGACUGAGACACGGCCCAGACUCCUACGGGAGGCAGCAGUGGGGAAUAUUGCACAAUGGGGGAAACCCUGAUGCAGCAACGCCGCGUGAGUGAUGAAGGUCUUCGGAUUGUAAAGCUCUGUCUUUGGGGACGAUAAUGACGGUACCCAAGGAGGAAGCCACACUAACUACGUGCCAGCCGCCGCAGUAA
This 475-nucleotide ribosomal RNA is filed under the name uncultured bacterium. RNAcentral's name for it is "partial 16S ribosomal RNA". It matches the Rfam family "Bacterial small subunit ribosomal RNA", at positions 28 to 523 of the family's 1533-position model. The record is from RNAcentral.